RNAcentral lists this ribosomal RNA (228 nucleotides) under uncultured bacterium. RNAcentral describes it as "partial 16S ribosomal RNA". It matches the Rfam family "Bacterial small subunit ribosomal RNA", at positions 568 to 796 of the family's 1533-position model. The record is from RNAcentral.
CGCGUAGGCUGCAUGGCAAGUCAGAGGUGAAAUCCCCCGGCUUAACCGGGGAACUGCCUCUGAUACUGCCGUGCUUGAGUCCCGGAGAGGGUAGCGGAAUUCCCAGUGUAGCGGUGAAAUGCGUAGAUACUGGGAGGAACACCAGUGGCGAAGGCGGCUACCUGGACGGGUACUGACGCUGAGGCGCGAAAGCGUGGGGAGCAAACAGGAUUAAUACCCUGGUAGUCC